UGGGGGGGCGGGGGUGUGCGGUGUGCUGUGUUCUUAGACCGUUAACAGAAGCUAACAGUUGUACCGAUAAAAUUUUUUCAUCUUAAGUUUUUAUAAUUAUGUCAGCAAAUAGGGCAUUGGCAGUUUAUUAUUUAUAAAGCUCUAAGAAUAUAUUUGAAGUUGCAGUAGAAUAAUAGCUAGUAACGUAACGUAUAUUUGUAAUAAUAUUGUAAUACGAAUAAAAUACUAGUCAUCCAACAACAUGGCUGACAACGUUCCGGUAAAUAGUGCCAGUGGAAAAGCUGCAGAACCAAAGGAAGGUUCCGAUAAGGAGGAACAGACCUCCAAACCCAAAAUGAAGAUAUUUAUCAAAACCCCCAAGGAGACAGAAUCAUUUCAAGUCGAUGAAAACUGCACAAUACAAAAGUUGAAAGAAAUGAUACAAAACAAGUUUAAUGCAGAAUCGAGUCAGCUGUGCCUAAUUUUUGCUGGAAAAAUUAUGAAAGAUAAUGAAACUUUAACUCAGCUGGGGAUCAAAGAUGGUUUCACAAUUCAUUUGGUAAUAAGAGGUGCUCAAAGGCCUGCCAGUACUGCUACUACAACGGAAAAUACUAAUACCCCACCUGCAGAUCCAUAUGGGGCUUUUUCCAGAUUCAAUAUGCCAAACCUUGGCAACCUAGGAAAUCUUGGGAACCUUGGAAAUCUUGGAAACCUUGGAAAUCUUGGAAAUCUUGGAAACCUUGCGAACCUUGGAAACCUUGGAAAUUUUGGAGGUACAGAUGGCCUAGCGGAUUUUACUCGUAUGAAUAGACUUCCAAGUAUGCAGAGCAUACAGAAUGAAAUCCUUCAAAAUCCAGAAACUUUGCGGAAUAUUCUAGAUAAUCCUGUUGUGCAAGGAUUUCUUAAUGACCCAGAACACAUGAGAAAUUUAAUGACAAGAAGUCCUCAGAUGCAAGAAUUAAUGGAAAGAAAUCCAGAAAUUAGCCAUAUGCUAAAUAACCCCGACCUUUUAAGACAAACAAUGGAAUUGGCUAGGAAUCCAUCUAUGUUACAGGAAUUGAUGAGAACUCAUGAUAGAGCUAUUAGUAAUUUAGAAAGUAUCCCAGGAGGUUAUAAUGCUCUACAAAGAAUGUAUCGUGAUAUUCAGGAACCAAUGUUAUCAGCUACCACAGAACAAUUUAUUAGAAAUCCAUUUACUGGGUUAGUGGAUAACACAUCAACAAGUAAUCCUCAACAAGGUCGUGAAAAUACAGAACCAUUACCCAAUCCAUGGUCACCAUCUCAACCAGCAUCUGGUGGUGGGGGGAACAGAACCACACCUGCUAACAAUGAUACAAAUCCAUUGGGAGGACCUUCAAUGGCAAGUUUUUUUCACAACCUUGCAACUGUCAUGGAAGGCGGUAAUCUAGAUGAUCCUGAAAUGCAAUCUUUCCUUAAUAUGUUUGUAGAAGAUCCUGAGUUUUUAGACUCUAUACUGCCUAGAAAUCCGUACAUUCCUUCUGGAAAUUCACCAUCAGCAGAACAAUUGGGGAACUUGGGGAACUUAUUACAAAAUCCAGAUUUAGUUAAUAUGCCGACAAAUCCUGAAGCUGUAAAUGCCUUUAAUCAGAUUCGAGAGGGCAUGGAACUACUUCGUCAGACAGCACCAAAUUUUUUGAAUGCACUUAAUAUUCCACCAGGAUUUAGACCACCAGCAACAACCACUAACAGCAACAAUAGUACUACCAAUACAACCAGCACUGUUAAUAGCACCACCACUGGAACUACCACAACUACAACUCCAUCUAGUGGACGCACUAAUGUACCAGCUACAACUACAACUGGUACUUCCUCACCAUUUAAUGCAGAGAUAUUUGCUCGUAUGAUGCAAAGCAUGAACCAAGCGCCGCCGGAAGAGAGAUACCAGAAUCAAUUAGAACAACUCAGAGCAAUGGGUUUUAUGAAUAGAGAAGCCAAUUUACAGGCAUUGAUUGCCACAUUUGGAGAUGUAAAUGCUGCUGUAGAGCGAUUACUUGCCCUAGGGCAGCUCUCUAUGAGUUAACCUUGUGAAGAAUAGAUUCCCAAAAAUAUUUUCCCUCUCAUGUUUUAUUUAAUAGUUUAUCCUUGUUUUAAAAUAUAAUUAGAUGGUUUAAUGAAAAAGUAGCCUUGAGAUGCCUUGUUUUAUAUUCCCUAUUUGUUGGGCUGCUAUUGGUUAUAGGGCUUUGUAUUUUUUAUUAUUUAAACAAAAUAAGGUUCACUUUUUAUACAAUUGGAUAAACUGCUUAAUAUAUAAGAAGAAUAGCAUAAUAUUCUGAGAUUUAACAAAGUCAUGUCUUUGUACUCUUUAAAAUACUCUAAAGAAUUAGAAAAUUUUAACUAGGUAUGUAUAUAUAACAUAUUGUUGACCUCUACAAGGUUAUUGCUAUUAUAAAAUGACCUUUUAUGUAAAAUUAACUAGGUAUUUAAAAAGGACAUAUCAAGGCUAUCAUAAUCAACAUUCUAGAAAAGCUCUGACUAGAGAAAAAUCAGUGAUUUUUGACAACCACAAAAACAAUUUGUGACAUUUUAGUUUGACAGAUGUUUCCAAAAUAUAUAAAAAUAGUCUUUUAAUUAACAUUCUUGUUAAUGGUUUUGGAAAAUGUUUAAACGCAAUUUUUGGAAGACAUCUAAAGUUGGCCAGGAUUUUUUUAUAUUUAUAUUUUAUAUUUAUACUACUUUUUGAACAAUAUAGUUUUUCGUAUUUUUAUUUUUUUUUAAAUGCAGGUUUUUCAAGAGUGUUGAUGGUUUUAUGUUAAUACAUAGUUACGACUUAGAAGUUUACAUAUAGACUUUCAAAAAAUACAUUUGAUCACUUUAAUGAUUUCAACAAGCACAUACACAGUGUGGUCUGUUCUAAGAUAUCACAUUAGGAAUGUAUAAAAUUACUAAAAAAUCUCAUUUCUCAAAUUAUGUAUUCCACUGCAUUGGCCCUACGUGAUUUGUAUUGGAUGUUCUUAAAAAGAGUAGCCUGAAUUUAUUAAAACUGCAAUUGAUAUGAUAACUAUCAAUAAUUUAUUGUAUUUGGGAUAAAAAACAUUAUUUGAGGUCAAGUUUCUGCCUUGAAAAAUUUAUUAGUGUUUGACAAGAGUAGUAAGAAAUGGAUGGUAGUAUAAUUUGGAAUAAUAGCUUUAUAUUUUAACAUUAUUUAUUUAUUUAAAUUUUUUUAACAUUUCUAGUUAUUAAUAGCAUAUUUUACAGCUUGUCUACUGAUGAAAGAUCUAAUUACCAGAAUAUUUUUCUUUUUAAUGUGUUAUGUAAGAUAUCUUAGAUGAUGACGCUAUAAUUGAUCAAAAUGUAUCCUAGAUUGACUAAAUAUAAAAUACAUAAACUGUUUUCAACUCAAAUUAAAAAGAUCCUCUUUAAGUUUUUUGAUGAUUUUUGGCAGUAUAGAAUUGACUAUUCCUUCUGAGCUCAGAAGAGGUUGUUGGCAAAUUUAGAUUUCAAUACUCUGCUGCACGCUUUAACUACAUGCAGUCAAAUUAAAAAGCAAUGGAAUUACUUCGCCAAACAUUCUCUAAUCGUAUGAAUGUAUUAAAUAUUGUUAACGUAUUAGAGCUACCAAGCGCCUCCAGUACUACCAUGCUCCUUCAGUACUACUAAGCACCUGACUAUGCUGACUAUCAGAGUCAUAGUUCAACUAAUGGACUCGCUAUUUCAUCUGCUGCUGACCACUGGCUCUCAACCAUUUGCAGUUUUCAAGUCAUUGUUUCCUUGGCUGUCAAAUGAGUCCUCAAGAGAGAAAUCAGGCCAGUGGGUUUUAUGGAUAGGAAAGUCAAAUUUAUAGGCAAUCAUUAUUAACUUUUGGAGAUUAUGAUUGCUGCCGUAUAGAGUUUAACCAUAUUAAGGCGGAUCUAUGUCAAUAAACUUUCAGAAUAGAUUCACAAAAAUAUUAUUUUGUAUUUAAUAGUUUAAUUCUUGUUUUAAAAUAUAAUUAGAUAAUUUAAAGAAACGUAGCUUUAAAAUGUCUUUUCUAUUUUGAUUAGGCUGUUAGUACCCUACAAAAUUAAUGUUAGUUUUUCUGGAUAAAAUACUUCAAGAGGUUUCAUAAAAAGUCAUCUUGUCCCCUAAAAUACUUGACUCCUCAAAUUUGAAACAGCAAUAUAAGUUGUACAUAUUGAUGACAAGGUUAUAAAUAUAAAUGUCUAUUGUCUGUGUUAGAAAUUAUCUAUUUAGAUAUGCAAUAGUUUUUGCUGAUUUACAUUUUAUUGACAAUAGAAAAAAUUUAAAUAUUUAAAAAGGACAUUUCAAGGCUAUCAUAUAUCAACAUUCUGGAAAAAGCUGUGACUGGUGUAAAUUACAUGUAACAAUUUACUAUUGAGGACGAUAUUGAUAUAUAACUAUUUUCUAUAGACCAUUCAGUGGCCAUUAUAUUUUUAUGAAAAAAUUCUAGUCACAUAAUGUUUUGCUAUUAACGAUUAACCGAAAUAAUCAUUUAAGGCAACGAAACUUUGGUAUUUUGGAGUCAAAAAUAUGAACUAGAAGGUUUGGUGGGAUUUAGUACCAAAUAAAAUAUUACUUGCAAUUUUUCUACCUAAUUUAUAUUUUUAAUACGAAGAUUUUCAAAGAAAUGGUAAAUCGGUAAAUUAUUUUUAUAAUAAAUACUAUAACUGCAUAUACGUGUUGCUAUAAUAAAAGAAUUAUUGGAAAGAUCUGUAUGAAAUUGAAAAGUGGGAGGUCAUCAUCAGUGUUCGAUACUUUGUUUCGUUUAGUUAAUAUUUCAAUUUUCUCCUUCUUAAGAAUUCUAGAAGCCGCUUAUAUAUUCUGAUAAUAUUAGUUGUUCAGUUGAAUUGAAAUGCUUUCUAUAAUAUAAGGAAAGUUAAAAUAAUCACUACCUUGAUAGAAACUUCAAUACUUUAGGUAAAAUCAGCAUAUUUAUUCGAAUAAAUUAUAAAAGGUUGCAUUGAUAACUCGAUUAAAAGAAGUAAUGUCAGUUGAGUAAUGGAAACUUUAAUAUAACUUUAAAAUAUGUUAUGAAACUGUUAAUUCGUUUUAGAUAUUCAUCUUUAAGUAAAAAUUAUACAUGGUCAGAAUAAUUUUUAAAUCAGUAAAUAAUUAAGAAUUUUUAACAGUAAUUUACAUAUUAAAUUUGGUGUAACAAGAAUAUUUAACUGUCGUGUGGAGAAAUAUAGUUUUUUAAAACGAAUUUUUCAUAUUUUCAAUUAUAAUUCUAGAUCUUCUUCUUCUUGUGCCACUCCUAUCGGAGAUUGGAAAUCAUCAAGGCUACCCUGACCUUGUUUACAGCUGACCUAAAAAAUUCAUUAGUGGUGCAGCCAAACCACUCUCUCAAAUUCCGCAACCAUGACAUUCUUCUACUGCCUGGAUUCCGUUUUCCUUCUAUUUUUCCUUGCAUUAUAUUUUGAAGUAAUGCGUAUUUAUGACCUGUCAGCAGGUGAUCCAAAUAUUCGAGUUUUCUUAGUUUUAUCGUUAACAAAAUCUCUGGGUCUUUUCCUAUCCUUCGUAUUACUUCAAGGUUUGUGAUUCUUUCAACCCAAAUUAUCUUCAGCAUUCGACGGUAGGAUCACAUCUCGAAACUCUCAAUUCUAGAUACAUGUUCCUUAUUCUGCUCAACGUUGACAUUUAUUCUUACUAUAGCUUUUUUGUAAAUGCAGAUUAUUUUCAAGAGUGUUGAUUGUUUAUGUUAUUGGUUCAUAGUUAAGGUUACAUAUAGCAGAUAUAUACGCAGUUACUGAAACAUUCCUUUUAUGCUUGUUUAGAGUCUUUUAAAAGUGCAAUUGAUAUGAUAAAUAACUUAUUUAAUGUAUUUUAAUAAAACACUAGGUUACUAUCAGUAUUGGCGUAAAAUUCCGGCCAUGGACUCUAUGUACAUGGCAAAAAUAAGAUUUAGAUUUUGAUAGAAUGUUUGUACAGUAUUUGAAAAUUAUUCUAUUAUGUACAGGUUUUCAAAAAAAGGUAGUGGGUAUAUAAAAGGGAUUACAACAUUAUAGAGUUGUAGAUUUUACAAUAAUUCGUCAAAUUAGUUCACAUAAACAAAAACUUAACUUUAUCCGCCCAUUUAUUACAUUCCAUUUAUCUGCCCUUUUACUAUUUAUAUAGAUGUGUUUCUUCAUAAUUUUCUGGCUCUAUUGUAUAUUUUCACUUCAGGUGAUUCUUACUGUUUUCAUCCUUAGCUUCGAUAUUUUUCCAUGCUUUUGUUGGACUUUUGUUUUUCCCACACCAUUUUUGCUUCCUUAUGUCUAUCUGCAUUUUAAGUCCCAACCACUGUAUUCUUCUUAAUUCAGUUUUUACUAUACUUGUCACCUUCAGGAACUUUCUUAUUACCGCCCUUUCAAUUUUGUCUGUAUGUUUUAUACCCUUCAAUUUCUGAGAAUUUUUAUUUCAUAGGCUUCGCUUUGCCGAGUCAGGUCAAUACUUAUGAAACUAUUAUCAAUAUAUAAAAUUAUUAAUAAAUUAUUAAAUAGCUAUGAUAGUAGUCAUACUGUAAAGUUGAUGUACCUAUAAGUAAUUUCUUUUGACAAACUUAUAUAAAUACUUUCAGCAACCACGAUACUUUUUUUACAAUUAUAUGAUACCUAUUUUUGAUUCCUUCGUACAAAGAAAAUUUAAACUAUUCUUGAUUACUGAUAGAACCUUUGUUUAUUCAUUUUUUGCGUUGUUUGAAUAUAUGGUGAAUCGGUAAUGUGUUGUAUAGUGCAUGUAUAACAGCGAACAACAGUUAAAAUCCCAUCACAUGUUUGUUUAUCUUUUACUGUAAAUAAAAAUAUAUUUGAUAUUGUUUUUAUCAAUAAAUUAUUAAGAAAAGUUCAUAUAAAAAUUAAUAGCUUAACUUAAAAUUAACUAAAAAAAAAUAAGUCAAAUCCUUUAUAAAAGGUAUAUUUAUUAAAAUUCCUUAAAAAGGGCUACAUCACAAACGCAGAACUAGUUUUCGAUCCGAUUACAGAUCAUCAUCAGUGCUGACAAGAUGCUGACAUGCUAACCACUAAAAUGAAAAUAUUUGGGUAAAAACCUUUUAAACUUAAUCAGUCAUGGAAACAUUGACUCUAAUUAAUAAAAUAAACAUGGGUGUAUUAGAUAUCACAUGAAUUAGGCCCUGGGUACCAUCUGACCAUCUAUUGAGUUGUUUACAUGUUGAAUGAUCGUUGGCAACUAAUUAUUGUAACGGAAAUCCGUACCCAGGGUCUAAUUUAUGUGAUAUCUAAUACAUCCAUGUUUAUUUUGUAAUUAUAUUCAAUGUUUCCAUGACUAACUAAGUUUAAAGGGUUUUUACCCAAAUAUUUUCAUUUUGGUGGUUAGCACGUCAGCAUCUUGUCAGCACUGAUUAUGAUCUGUAAUCAGGUCGAAAACUAGUUCUGCUUUUGUGAUGUAGCCUUUUUUAGGGAAUUUUAAUAAAUAUACCUUUUAUAAAGGAUUUUACUUACUUUUUGUAAUAUAUGGUAUACAGCCAGUUACAGGAAAACCUUUUUCCUUGUGGAUUUUUAAAAUUAACUGUUUUUGCUGUCUGCUGCACACCUGAUUCGCAAAUUUAGAGAAAAAACCCAUAUUACUCCCCGUAUUAAUAGUAAAAGUGAAUUACUCAGAAAUGGGAAACAGUUACUAUAGAAUACGGGGAAAUUUUAGACUGGAUUUUUUUUUGACUGAAUGCUUUUGAAUGUUUUUAUUUAUUGUUAUAUCUUAUAUAACAAUACAUAUAUUUGUUUCAUUUAUGUGUAGAUAAAUGUAUUUUCUUCUAUGUUCUUGCAUUUUAUAUUUGAUUCAUUAAAAUUAAAAUCAUACAAAAAAUUAUAUUAUAAAGUUGAAUAUAUCACCCAAUCAGUAAGUCAACAACUGUUCCUAUUGUAAAUUGUAAAAAAAUAAAAAAGUGUUGCAGAUUUAUGUUAAAUUUGAUUUUUGUCGAAAGCUCAAUAUUUCUUUUCUUUCCAAUUCCACUUUAAAUCAUAUUUUUCAUUUUAUAUGCAAAUGUGCACAUUUAUAUUAUUGUCUAUAUUUUUGGGGUUUUUUAAUUACUCGACUUUUUACUGUCGAUUUUUAUUUAAUUUUAGCAUCACAAUAAAAGUAGAUCUCUAAGCUACUAGUUACAACCAAUUGCUCAUAAUGGGGUAUUUUUUCGUUCUCUUCUUUUUCGACUUGGGAACAAGUCUGUAUUUUGUUCUAGUCUAGAUGUCAGCAAAGCUAAAGUAAAUCUUAGUGUUCGUUCUAUUUUCAUUCAAUGUUUUUAUCUAAGCUACUGGCUCUAGUUAAUCUUGCUGCAUCAAAUAAAGUCUCAUUUUAAUAUUUAAUUAUUUAUAUAUUUAAUAUUUAUAUAUUUAUUUAUUUAUUAUUUAUAUAUUUAUAAUAUAUUUUAAUACUUAAAUUAAAGAAAUGAUCUGUAUAUAUUGCAAACGUUAUAUCAAAAAGUGUAGAUGAGUUAUACAAACUAACUAUUUGAAUAAAAACUGAGACAUUUUUUUAUAUUUCAAAUCCAGCGCUGUAUUUUUAUCACUUCAUUUACAUAAAAGAUGCUUCAAGUAGUGAAUGCAAGGGCAUAUCUUACAGAUUAUGUAUUAUUUGCUAUGUAUGUAUUUAUGUAUGUAGAAACAUAAGCAGUUUUUGGGAGUGACCCUAAGCUUAUUGAAAUUUUGUUUAUUUGAAAGUGAUAUCUGUUUAUAUGAAUCUGUAACGAUGGGUUUUUAUAUUUACUUUGCAAUAUAAUAUUUUAAAUGAUUAUAGGUUUUACUCGUAUUUUGAUGUAUUUUCAGAAAUCUAAAAGUGAAGUGGUUUAGUUUUAAUGAUUUGAAAAAGGUGGUGCAAACAAUUGGAGCUAUGACGAUAUUUGUCUUUAUUUAAUAGUAACAAGUAUAAUCAGGGUGAUCCAACGAUGUUCUGUACAGAACAAAUUAUUCAGUAUCUAUUAGUUUUUGAGUUUUUUUUGUUUGUUGUUAAAUUAAAUUUUUAUAAAUAAAAUCUUCAUGGAUACGUGUUCCAACAUUUUUGUCCUUGUAGGCUCUUAAAAAAGAGGAUCCAAUAAUUGUGUUGUACAUAUCAUACCAGUAAAUUAGCUAUAUUAAUAUUUCUGCUAGUUCGUAUUUUUUUAAUAAAUUUUGAAAACUCCUGGCCCGAUCCUGUGUAUUUUAGUCUAUGUAAUCUUUAAGGCCUAAAUUUAAAUGUUCCGUUAAAUAAUGUAGAGUUUGCGUCAAUGGAUCACUCUGUACAUAACUAAUAAAGCCAAUGCUUGAAACACUAUAGUAAAAAACUUACUAAUGUGAAUACCUCAGAAAUAGAAAACUGUUAAUAGGUUACUUUCAAAUGUUUGCAUCGCCUGAACUAGUAUUAGUGUUACGUAUUUGAGAAAAGAUGAGAUGUGAAAAAGUAUAUUUAAAAAUAGUUUUGUACCAUUUUAACAGGAGAUUCUUACUCUUUUGUAAACUAAUACUAGUUUUUACAAUAUGUUCAUCAAUAUUUCAUAUUUCACCUAUAGAAUGGUGCAUUUCGUUGACUUAUUUUGAAAUAAAAAUGACUGAAUGUUA
Molecule: unclassified non-coding RNA, 9458 nt
Filed under: Diabrotica virgifera virgifera (western corn rootworm)
Lineage: Eukaryota; Metazoa; Arthropoda; Insecta; Coleoptera; Chrysomelidae
Description: ubiquilin-1
Source: RNAcentral